This 176-nucleotide unclassified non-coding RNA is filed under the name soil metagenome. Its description in RNAcentral is "partial internal transcribed spacer 1". The record is from RNAcentral.
CCGAGUUUACAACUCCCAAACCCAUGUGAACAUACCUCAAUUGCUUCGCGGACUCCCGGCGCGCCUCCGACCCCGCUCCCGGGGAUCGGACCUACCCGGACCCAGGCCCCGCCAGAGGUACCCCUAAACUCUUGUCUUCAUAUAUGUAACUUCUGAGUGCAAACCAUAAUAAAUCA